GAUGAACGCUGGCGGCGUGCCUAAUACAUGCAAGUCGAGCGAACGGACGAGAAGCUUGCUUCUCUGAUGUUAGCGGCGGACGGGUGAGUAACACGUGGAUAACCUACCUAUAAGACUGGGAUAACUUCGGGAAACCGGAGCUAAUACCGGAUGAUAUUUUGAACCGCAUGGUUCAAAAGUGAAAGACGGUCUUGCUGUCACUUAUAGAUGGAUCCGCGCUGCAUUAGCUAGUUGGUAAGGUAACGGCUUACCAAGGCAACGAUGCAUAGCCGACCUGAGAGGGUGAUCGGCCAAACUGGAACUGAGCAACGGUCCAGACUCCUACGGGAGGCAGCAGAAGGGAAUCUUCCGCAAUGGGCGAAAGCCUGACGGAGCAACGCCGCGUGAGUGAUGAAGGUCUUCGGAUCGUAAAACUCUGUUAUUAGGGAAGAACAUAUGUGUAAGUAACUGUGCACAUCUUGACGGUACCUAAUCAGAAAGCCACGGCUAACUACGUG
Molecule: ribosomal RNA, 497 nt
Filed under: uncultured bacterium
Lineage: Bacteria
Description: partial 16S ribosomal RNA
Rfam family: Bacterial small subunit ribosomal RNA
Source: RNAcentral